Molecule: ribosomal RNA, 468 nt
Filed under: uncultured bacterium
Lineage: Bacteria
Description: partial 16S ribosomal RNA
Rfam family: Bacterial small subunit ribosomal RNA
Source: RNAcentral
GACGAACGCUGGCGGCGUGCUUAACACAUGCAAGUCGAACGGAAAGGUCCUGCCAGUGUGGGGUGCUCGAGUGGCGAACGGGUGAGUAACACGUGAGUAACCUGCCCCUGACUUUGGGAUAACUUCAGGAAAGUGGGGCUAAUACCGGAUAGGAGCUCCUGCUGCAGGGAGGGGGUGGGAAAGUUUCGGCGGUUGGGUAUGGACUCGCGGCUUAUCAGCUUGUUGGUGGGGUAGUGGCUUACCAAGGCUUUGACGGGUAGCCGGCCUGAGAGGGUGACCGGCCACGUUGGGACUGAGAUGCGGCCCAGACUCCUACGGGAGGCAGCAGUGGGGAAUAUUGCACUAUGGGCGGAAGCCUGAUGCAGCGACGCCGCGUGCGGGAUGACGGCCUUCGGGUUGUAACCCGCUUUCGCCUGUGGCGAAGCGUGAGUGACGGUAAUGGGUAAAGAAGCACCGGCUAACUACGUG